This 172-nucleotide ribosomal RNA is filed under the name Gammaproteobacteria bacterium. RNAcentral describes it as "partial 23S ribosomal RNA". It matches the Rfam family "Bacterial large subunit ribosomal RNA", at positions 2768 to 2925 of the family's 2925-position model. Lineage: Bacteria; Pseudomonadati; Pseudomonadota; Gammaproteobacteria. The record is from RNAcentral.
CCGCUGAAAGCAUCUAAGCGGGAAGCCCCCCUCGAGAUAAGAUCUCACCAAAUCUCCAAGAUUUCUUAAGGGCCCUCGUAGACUACGAGGUUGAUAGGCGGGAUGUGUAAGCGCUGCGAGGCGUUGAGCUAACCCGUACUAAUUGCCCGUGAGGCUUGACCAUAUAACCGAG